CAGCACCUGACACACCACCCUGGGCCCUGGGUGAUAGAGCCAGACGCAGAGAUCCUCUCCUUCAUGCCUCACACCUGGUGCAGAUCUGGAGAGGCUUCCACCACAGACUGUUCGAACUUGAGAGAGGACAGAGCAAGUGCUAAACCAUCCGUUUGAAUGCUUGCAGUGGAUCCUUUGAAGAGCAGAGCAAAGCAGAGGUCUGGACAAAGCAGAGGCAGAAUUCACAGAGAGUGAGAGAGGGCUUCAGGCUAUCCCUACUCGCGGCUAGCAAAGUUGUUCUCCCCGUCGGGACUACAAGAACACAAUGGCAGGGGCUUUGUGUGCCACGCAGCAGGGACAAAUGUCUGCCAGGGAGCGGGGACACACCUGAAAGAGCAGAGAAGAAGAGGAGACGAGGAGAAGAUGAGAGGACCGCCACCCAGCCCUACACACUAGGAUUAGUCCCAUCCUCUGCCAGGGAGCGGGGACACACCUGAAAGAGAAGAGGAGAAGAGGAGAAGAGGAAAAGAGGAGAGGAGCGCCACCCAGCCCAUCCUCUGCUUUGAUGGAUUAGCGUGUAGGGAAAUUGCCCGAUUAUUGGUAUGAACAUUUUUGAAAGUCAAAGAGAUGUGAUAGGGGGAGAAAAUGGGUGAAAUUGUGUCUGACAAAAAGAGGGAGAAAGUGUUUGUGGUGCUUAUCUUUACCCCCUUCCCCUCCUCUCUCUCUUUUCCCUCCCUCCCUCCCUCCCCCUUUUGGAAAAGAGAUGGGUAAAAAAGACAAACGAGG
Molecule: long non-coding RNA, 765 nt
Organism: Oncorhynchus tshawytscha (Chinook salmon)
Lineage: Eukaryota; Metazoa; Chordata; Actinopteri; Salmoniformes; Salmonidae
Source: Ensembl